UACGUAGGGAGCAAGCGUUGUUCGGAUUUACUGGGCGUAAAGGGCGCGUAGGCGGAUAUCUAAGUUGGGGGUGAAAUCCCGGGGCUCAACCUCGGAAUUGCCUUCAAAACUGGGUAUCUUGAGUUCGGGAGAGGUGAGUGGAACUGCGAGUGUAGAGGUGAAAUUCGUAGAUAUUCGCAAGAACACCAGUGGCGAAGGCGGCUCACUGGCCCGGUACUGACGCUGAGGUGCGAAAGCGUGGGGAGCAAACAGG
RNAcentral lists this ribosomal RNA (253 nucleotides) under uncultured bacterium. Its description in RNAcentral is "partial 16S ribosomal RNA". It matches the Rfam family "Bacterial small subunit ribosomal RNA", at positions 524 to 776 of the family's 1533-position model. The record is from RNAcentral.